UACGGGGGGAGCAAGCGUUGUUCGGAUUUACUGGGCGUAAAGGGCGCGUAGGCGGCCACGACAAGUCAGUUGUGAAAUCUCUGGGCUUAACUCAGAACGGUCAACUGAUACUGUCGGGCUAGAGUGCAGAAGGGGCAACUGGAAUUCUCGGUGUAGCGGUGAAAUGCGUAGAUAUCGAGAGGAACACCUGCGGCGAAGGCGGCACUCUGGGCCAGUAUUGACGCUGAGGAGCGAAAGCGUGGGGAGCGAACAGG
This 254-nucleotide ribosomal RNA is filed under the name uncultured bacterium. RNAcentral describes it as "partial 16S ribosomal RNA". It matches the Rfam family "Bacterial small subunit ribosomal RNA", at positions 524 to 776 of the family's 1533-position model. The record is from RNAcentral.